This 1683-nucleotide long non-coding RNA is filed under the name Homo sapiens (human). RNAcentral's name for it is "HSALNT0109526". Lineage: Eukaryota; Metazoa; Chordata; Mammalia; Primates; Hominidae. The record is from RNAcentral.
GGAGCAUAUAGGACAAUUGGCUGAUACUUACUUCCCCAUGGGCAGCAUUCCCUAGCACCCCAGGGGAUUGCUUCCUAUUGGGCCACCCCUAUGGGUAGUUUCUCAGUGAGCUCUGCAGCAUGGCAUCUUUCUGUGGGCAGCUUCACCUAGCAACCAAGGAAGUAGUUUCCCAGCUCACCAUCUCUGUGGGAGGCUUUGCAGUGAGUUCUGAGGUACAACACCUUGUUGAGGGCUUCCUUCAGCAUCCCAGAAGGCAGCUUCUCAGUAAGUUCUACCAGCAUGGCAUCUGCAUGAACUUCCACACAGGUGGAUGGUGUCCUUCCCAGUGAAAGUUUGGAUUUCAGCUCUGGAGGCCUCUUCUGUAUUUGAUGCAUGCCUAGGUGCUGUGCUUCAGUGCUAGAGAGAAUCCUGCAUUCUAAAGGAUCUAGUCUGGAUGCCAGGAGCUGUGUAUAGGAUGAGAGCCUGGUGGACCUGAUUGACCGCCUGUUGUUCAGUUCAGUUCAGAGACUGAAAAUCAGGAUUUGUGCUGGAGAGUCUUUGAACUGUGUGUGAAAGUAUCUGAAGGUCCAUGACAAUUUGAAAGAAGGCAUAUGAAAAAGGUGCAGGAAUCGAAGGCACGAGAUACACCUGAAAGUGGUGGAGCAAUGAAUCUGAACAGGAUGAUGGAUUGAAAGUGCUCAAAAGAGGCAGCUAGGAUCCUGUAUUCAUGUCCUACCACUGCAGCCAGGGAAAGAUCCUCCCACAUCUAUCAGAAGACUGGAGGAUUAUGUCUGGAGAGAUUGAAUUCUAGGGAUGCUCAGGCCCAAAUGAAGGUUUGAGCACACAAUGAAAUGAGUUGAUAUUGACUGUUGGGAACCAGAGUUCUCAGUGGAUGAAGAGACACAGAAAAAUAAAAUGAAGGAAGGCAAAGAAGAUCUCUGAAGAGAUGGAUUGGAAUUGGAAGCAUUAGUAUGAACCAUGAUUCUAAAAUAGUUAUAUAUUGAUGUCUAUGCUUGUAUAUAUCCAGAAGUUUAUGUAUGUAUGUUUAAAUGUGUGUGUAAUAUAUAUGUAUACAUAUAUGUACACAUGUAUAUAUUUCCUAGCUUUGUCUACUGAAAGGGUCCACAAGCAAAAUCUUGUAGCGGAUCUUGGUCUCUAAGAUUGUUCCCUGUUAAAAAAAAAACAGGAUCCGUUGGAGAAAUUGCUGAUUCCAGUGCUGUAGCAGAAAAGGUAAUACAUGAUCCUAAAAUCAGUAGUCUCAUUCUGUUAGAUUACUGUGGGGUUCAGUAUGGUAGCCACUAGUCUCUUGUGCUAUUUAUUUAUUUAUUUUUAUUAUUAUGCUUUAAGUUCUAGGGUACAUGUGUACAGCAUGCAGGUUUGUUGCAUAUGUAUACAUCUGCCAUGUUGGUGUGCUGCACCCAUUAACUGGCAAUUUACAUUAGGUAAAUCUCCUAAUGCUAUCCCUGCUCCCUCCCCCAACCCCAUGUCAGGCCCCAGUAUGUGAUGAUCCUCAUCCUGUGUCCAAGUGUUUUCAUUGUUCAGUUCCCACCUGUGAGUGAGAACAUGCAGUGUUUGGUUUUCUAUCCUUGCGAUAGUUUGCUCAGAAUGAUGGUUUCUAAUUUCAUCCAUGUCCCUACAAAGGACAUGAACUCAUCCUUUUUUAUGGCUGCAUAGUAUUCCACGGUGUAUAUGUGCCACAUUUUC